CCUACGGGUGGCAGCAGUGAGGAAUAUUGGUCAAUGGGCGGGCGCCUGAACCAGCCAAGUCGCGUGAAGGAAGCAGGUACUUAGUAUUGUAAUCUUCUUUUGUCGGGGAACAAAGGCGGAGACGCGUCUCCGGAUGAGUGUACCCGAAGAAAAAGCAUCGGCUAACUCCGUGCCAGCAGCCGCGGUACUACGGAGGCUGCAAGCGUUAUCCGGUUGUCUUGGGUUAAUAGGGUGCGUAGGUGGGAGAUCAAGUCAGCGGUACAAUGUCGGGGCUCAACCCCGGCCGGCCGUUGAAGCUGGUUGUCUAGAGUUGGAGAGAAGUAUGCGGAAUGCGUGGUGUAGCGGUGAAAUGCAUAGAU
Molecule: ribosomal RNA, 359 nt
Filed under: uncultured bacterium
Lineage: Bacteria
Description: partial 16S ribosomal RNA
Rfam family: Bacterial small subunit ribosomal RNA
Source: RNAcentral